This 85-nucleotide transfer RNA is filed under the name Zhongshania antarctica. RNAcentral's name for it is "tRNA-Leu". It matches the Rfam family "tRNA". Rfam says of the family: Transfer RNA (tRNA) molecules are approximately 80 nucleotides in length. Lineage: Bacteria; Pseudomonadati; Pseudomonadota; Gammaproteobacteria; Cellvibrionales; Spongiibacteraceae. The record is from RNAcentral.
GCCGGUGUGGUGGAAUUGGUAGACACGCCUGAUUCAAAAUCAGGUGCCUAACAGCGUGGCGGUUCGAGUCCGCCCAUCGGUACCA